This 580-nucleotide ribosomal RNA is filed under the name Staphylococcus aureus. Its description in RNAcentral is "partial 23S ribosomal RNA". It matches the Rfam family "Bacterial large subunit ribosomal RNA", at positions 426 to 1008 of the family's 2925-position model. The record is from RNAcentral. Lineage: Bacteria; Bacillati; Bacillota; Bacilli; Caryophanales; Staphylococcaceae.
GUGAAAUUCCGUCGGAAUCUGGGAGGACCAUCUCCUAAGGCUAAAUACUCUCUAGUGACCGAUAGUGAACCAGUACCGUGAGGGAAAGGUGAAAAGCACCCCGGAAGGGGAGUGAAAUAGAACCUGAAACCGUGUGCUUACAAGUAGUCAGAGCCCGUUAAUGGGUGAUGGCGUGCCUUUUGUAGAAUGAACCGGCGAGUUACGAUUUGAUGCAAGGUUAAGCAGUAAAUGUGGAGCCGUAGCGAAAGCGAGUCUGAAUAGGGCGUUUAGUAUUUGGUCGUAGACCCGAAACCAGGUGAUCUACCCUUGGUCAGGUUGAAGUUCAGGUAACACUGAAUGGAGGACCGAACCGACUUACGUUGAAAAGUGAGCGGAUGAACUGAGGGUAGCGGAGAAAUUCCAAUCGAACCUGGAGAUAGCUGGUUCUCUCCGAAAUAGCUUUAGGGCUAGCCUCAAGUGAUGAUUAUUGGAGGUAGAGCACUGUUUGGAUGAGGGGCCCCUCUCGGGUUACCGAAUUCAGACAAACUCCGAAUGCCAAUUAAUUUAACUUGGGAGUCAGAACAUGGGUGAUAAGGUCCGU